AUUGAACGCUGGCGGCAGGCCUAACACAUGCAAGUCGGACGGCAGAACAGAGAAGGUUGCUGCAUGGGGGGCGAGAGGGGAGAGGAAGGGUAAUAUAUCGGAACGGACGGAGUAGAGAGGGAUAAGUAAUCGGAAGAAAAGCCAAAAACGCAUAGAGGGAGAGAAGGAAAGAAGGGGAGAUUCGGGGCUAGCGGAAGAGGAGAGGCCGAUGUCGGAUUAGCUAGUUGGUGGGGUAAAGGCCUACCAAGGCGACGAUCAGUAGCUGGUCUGAGAGGAUGAUCCGUCACACUGGAACUGAGACACGGUCCAGACUCCUACGGGAGGCAGCAGUGGGGAAUUUUGGACAAUGGGCGCAAGCCUGAUCCAGCCAUGCCGCGUGUCUGAAGAAGGCCUUCGGGUUGUAAAGCACUUUUGUCUGGGAAGAAAAGGCGUUUGCUAAUACCUUCAUCUUAUGACGUUACCUGAAGAAUAAGCACCGGCUAACUUCGUG
Molecule: ribosomal RNA, 490 nt
Filed under: uncultured bacterium
Lineage: Bacteria
Description: partial 16S ribosomal RNA
Rfam family: Bacterial small subunit ribosomal RNA
Source: RNAcentral